GUACAAACUGUAUCACUAACUCUGCAUGAUGCCACAGAAGUGAGGAGAACCAGGUGUGCUAAAGUAAUUGCAGUGAUAGAUAGGGAUUAACUGCAGACAGUACUGAGUUACCUAUUUGGUCCUAGUACAGGG
This is a small nucleolar RNA of Sorex araneus (European shrew), 132 nucleotides long. Lineage: Eukaryota; Metazoa; Chordata; Mammalia; Eulipotyphla; Soricidae. The record is from Ensembl.